Molecule: small nucleolar RNA, 144 nt
Organism: Candida albicans SC5314
Lineage: Eukaryota; Fungi; Ascomycota; Pichiomycetes; Serinales; Debaryomycetaceae
Source: RefSeq, a predicted model, not a curated record
UAUAAUGAUGAAAUAUCAUCAACCCUGGUCUUAUUCCAUUUGUUAAACAAUAUAUUCAACUUGAUGAUUAAAACUAUUGAUGUAACAUUAUUACUGAGGAUGUACAUGCAGGAUAAAUAGUUAAGGAAUUCUUCGUUUAUGAAU